GAUCAUUACUGAGUGCGGACCCCUCGCGGGUCCAACCUCCCACCCGUGUCUCUUGAAUACCCUGUUGCUUUGGCGGGCCCACCGGGUCGCCCCGGUCGCCGGGGGGCACUGCGCCCCCGGGCCUGCGCCCGCCAGAGCGCUCUGUGAACCCUAAUGAAGAUGGGCUGUCUGAGUGUGAUUUUGAAUUAUCAAAACUUUCAACAAUGGAUCUCUUGGUUCCGGCAUCGAUGAAGAACGCAGCGAAAUGCGAUAAGUAAUGUGAAUUGCAGAAUUCCGUGAAUCAUCGAAUCUUUGAACGCACAUUGCGCCCCCUGGCAUUCCGGGGGGCAUGCCUGUCCGAGCGUCAUUUCUGCCCUCAAGCGCGGCUUGUGUGUUGGGUGUGGUCCCCCCGGUGUUGGGGGGACCUGCCCGAAAGGCAGCGGCGACGUCCCGUCUAGGUCCUCGAGCGUAUGGGGCUUUGUCACCCGCUCGGGAGGGGCCUGCGGGCGUUGGCCACCCACGAUAUUUUUUUACCGUUGACCUCGGAUCAGGUAGGAGUUACCCGCUGAACUUAAGCAUAUCAAUAAGCGGAGGAAAAGAAACCAACCGGGAUUGCCUCAGUAACGGCGAGUGAAGCGGCAAGAGCUCAAAUUUGAAAUCUGGCCCCUCCGGGGUCCGAGUUGUAAUUUGGAGAGGAUGCUUCGGGCUCGGUCCCCAUCUAAGUGCCCCUGGAACGGGCUGUCAUAGAGGGUGAGAAUCCCGUAUGGGAUGGGCGGCCGUGCCCGUGUGAAGCUCCUUCGACGAGUCGAGUUGUUUGGGAAUGCAGCUCUAAGCGGGUGGUAAAUUUCAUCUAAAGCUAAAUACUGGCCGGAGACCGAUAGCGCACAAGUAGAGUGAUCGAAAGAUGAAAAGCACUUUGAAAAGAGAGUUAAACAGCACGUGAAAUUGUUGAAAGGGAAGCGUUGGCCACCAGACGCGCCCGGGGGGGCUCAGCCGGCACGUGUGCCGGUGUACUCCCCCCCGGACGGGUCAGCAUCGGUUUGGGCGGUCGCUGAAAGGCUCUGGGAAUGUAGCACCCUCCGGGGUGCCUUAUAGCCCAGGGUGUCAUGCGGCCCGCCUGGACCGA
Molecule: unclassified non-coding RNA, 1105 nt
Filed under: leaf metagenome
Description: partial contains internal transcribed spacer 1, 5.8S ribosomal RNA, internal transcribed spacer 2, and large subunit ribosomal RNA
Rfam family: Eukaryotic large subunit ribosomal RNA (bases 517-1105)
Source: RNAcentral